GAUGAACGCUGGCGGCGUGCCUAAUACAUGCAAGUCGAGCGAACAGACGAGGAGCUUGCUCCUCUGACGUUAGCGGCGGACGGGUGAGUAACACGUGGAUAACCUACCUAUCAGACUGGGAUAACUUCGGGAAACCGGAGCUAAUACCGGAUAAUAUAUUGAACCGCAUGGUUCAAUAGUGAAAGACGGCUUUGCUGUCACUUAUAGAUGGAUCCGCGCCGCAUUAGCUAGUUGGUAAGGUAACGGCUUACCAAGGCAACGAUGCGUAGCCGACCUGAGAGGGGGAUCGGCCACACGGGAGCUGAGACACGGUCCAGACGCCUGCGGGAGGCAGCAGAAGGGAAUCGUACGCAGUGGGCGAAAGCCUGGCGGAGCAACGGCGCGUGAGCGAUGAAGGUCUUCGGAUCGUAAAACUGUGUUAUUAGGGAAGAACAAAUGUGUAAGUAACUAUGCACGGCUUGACGGUACCUAAUCAGAAAGCCACGGCUAACUACGUG
RNAcentral lists this ribosomal RNA (497 nucleotides) under uncultured bacterium. RNAcentral describes it as "partial 16S ribosomal RNA". It matches the Rfam family "Bacterial small subunit ribosomal RNA", at positions 28 to 507 of the family's 1533-position model. The record is from RNAcentral.